Molecule: ribosomal RNA, 119 nt
Filed under: Carlito syrichta (Philippine tarsier)
Lineage: Eukaryota; Metazoa; Chordata; Mammalia; Primates; Tarsiidae
Source: RNAcentral
GUCUGUGGUCAUACCACCCUGCAUGCGCCUGAUCUUGUCUGAUCUUGGAAUCUUAGCAGGUUGGGCCUGGUUAGUGCUUGGAUGGGAGAUGUGUACUUGAUGGAAAGGCUUUAAAGGUC